This 909-nucleotide ribosomal RNA is filed under the name Escherichia coli. RNAcentral's name for it is "partial 23S ribosomal RNA". It matches the Rfam family "Bacterial large subunit ribosomal RNA", at positions 244 to 1191 of the family's 2925-position model. The record is from RNAcentral. Lineage: Bacteria; Pseudomonadati; Pseudomonadota; Gammaproteobacteria; Enterobacterales; Enterobacteriaceae.
UAGCGGCGAGCGAACGGGGAGCAGCCCAGAGCCUGAAUCAGUGUGUGUGUUAGUGGAAGCGUCUGGAAAGGCGUGCGAUACAGGGUGACAGCCCCGUACACAAAAAUGCACAUAUUGUGAGCUCGAUGAGUAGGGCGGGACACGUGGUAUCCUGUCUGAAUAUGGGGGGACCAUCCUCCAAGGCUAAAUACUCCUGACUGACCGAUAGUGAACCAGUACCGUGAGGGAAAGGCGAAAAGAACCCCGGCGAGGGGAGUGAAAAAGAACCUGAAACCGUGUACGUACAAGCAGUGGGAGCACAGAGCAAUCUGUGUGACUGCGUACCUUUUGUAUAAUGGGUCAGCGACUUAUAUUCUGUAGCAAGGUUAACCGAAUAGGGGAGCCGAAGGGAAACCGAGUCUUAACUGGGCGUUAAGUUGCAGGGUAUAGACCCGAAACCCGGUGAUCUAGCCAUGGGCAGGUUGAAGGUUGGGUAACACUAACUGGAGGACCGAACCGACUAAUGUUGAAAAAUUAGCGGAUGACUUGUGGCUGGGGGUGAAAGGCCAAUCAAACCGGGAGAUAGCUGGUUCUCCCCGAAAGCUAUUUAGGUAGCGCCUCGUGAAUUCAUCUCCGGGGGUAGAGCACUGUUUCGGCAAGGGGGUCAUCCCGACUUACCAACCCGAUGCAAACUGCGAAUACCGGAGAAUGUUAUCACGGGAGACACACGGCGGGUGCUAACGUCCGUCGUGAAGAGGGAAACAACCCAGACCGCCAGCUAAGGUCCCAAAGUCAUGGUUAAGUGGGAAACGAUGUGGGAAGGCCCAGACAGCCAGGAUGUUGGCUUAGAAGCAGCCAUCAUUUAAAGAAAGCGUAAUAGCUCACUGGUCGAGUCGGCCUGCGCGGAAGAUGUAACGGGGCUAAACCAUG